GGGUUGUGAGGUUAAGCGACUAAGCGUACACGGUGGAUGCCCUGGCAGUCAGAGGCGAUGAAGGGCGUGCUAAUCUGCGAUAAGCGCCGGUAAGGUGAUAUGAACCGUUAUAACCGGCGAUACCCGAAUGGGGAAACCCAGUGUGAUUCGUCACACUAUCAUUAACUGAAUCCAUAGGUUAAUGAGGCGAACCGGGGGAACUGAAACAUCUAAGUACCCCGAGGAAAAGAAAUCAACCGAGAUUCCCCCAGUAGCGGCGAGCGAACGGGGAGGAGCCCAGAGCCUGAAUCAGCAUGUGUGUUAGUGGAAGCGUCUGGAAAGGCGCGCGAUACAGGGUGACAGCCCCGUACACAAAAGCGCAUGUGCUGUGAGCUCGAUGAGUAGGGCGGGACACGUGGUAUCCUGUCUGAAUAUGGGGGGACCAUCCUCCAAGGCUAAAUACUCCUGACUGACCGAUAGUGAACCAGUACCGUGAGGGAAAGGCGAAAAGAACCCCGGCGAGGGGAGUGAAAAAGAACCUGAAACCGUGUACGUACAAGCAGUGGGAGCACCCUUUUGGGUGUGACUGCGUACCUUUUGUAUAAUGGGUCAGCGACUUAUAUUCUGUAGCAAGGUUAACCGUAUAGGGGAGCCGGAGGGAAACCGAGUCUUAA
This 653-nucleotide ribosomal RNA is filed under the name Salmonella enterica subsp. enterica serovar Vancouver. RNAcentral describes it as "partial 23S ribosomal RNA". It matches the Rfam family "Bacterial large subunit ribosomal RNA", at positions 1 to 687 of the family's 2925-position model. Lineage: Bacteria; Pseudomonadati; Pseudomonadota; Gammaproteobacteria; Enterobacterales; Enterobacteriaceae. The record is from RNAcentral.